RNAcentral lists this non-coding RNA (46 nucleotides) under Schistosoma mansoni. The record is from RNAcentral. Lineage: Eukaryota; Metazoa; Platyhelminthes; Trematoda; Strigeidida; Schistosomatidae.
AUCCAGCUGACGAGUCCCAAAAUAGGACGAAACACGCGUCCUGGAU